This 238-nucleotide ribosomal RNA is filed under the name uncultured bacterium. RNAcentral describes it as "partial 16S ribosomal RNA". It matches the Rfam family "Bacterial small subunit ribosomal RNA", at positions 796 to 1041 of the family's 1533-position model. The record is from RNAcentral.
CACGCCGUAAACGAUGGAUACUAGCUGUUGGGCGCAAGUUCAGUGGCUAAGCGAAAGUGAUAAGUAUCCCACCUGGGGAGUACGUUCGCAAGAAUGAAACUCAAAGGAAUUGACGGGGGCCCGCACAAGCGGUGGAGCAUGUGGUUUAAUUCGAUGAUACGCGAGGAACCUUACCAGGGCUUAAAUGUAGAUUGCAUGAUGUGGAAACACGUCUUUCUUCGGACUAUCUACAAGGUGC